This 253-nucleotide ribosomal RNA is filed under the name uncultured bacterium. Its description in RNAcentral is "partial 16S ribosomal RNA". It matches the Rfam family "Bacterial small subunit ribosomal RNA", at positions 524 to 776 of the family's 1533-position model. The record is from RNAcentral.
UACGUAGGGGGCAAGCGUUGUCCGGAUUUAUUGGGCGUAAAGAGCGUGUAGGCGGCCAGGUAGGUCCGUUGUGAAAACUCGAGGCUCAACCUCGAGACGUCGGCGGAAACCCUCUGGCUAGAGUCCGGAAGGGGCAACUGGAAUUCCCAGUGUAGCGGUGAAAUGCGUAGAUAUUGGGAAGAACACCUGAGGCGAAGGCGGGUUGCUGGGCCGACACUGACGCUGAGGCGCGAAAGCCAGGGGAGCAAACGGG